Long non-coding RNA from Passer domesticus (house sparrow), 864 nucleotides. RefSeq lists it as uncharacterized. The record is from RefSeq and is a predicted model, not a curated record. NCBI's taxonomy places the organism in Eukaryota, Metazoa, Chordata, Aves, Passeriformes, Passeridae. The transcript has 2 exons.
CCGCGCCGCGCGCUCCCGAGCCCGGGGCGAGGAUGGGGAGCGGCACGGGAGCGGGAAUGCUGCGGCUCCCUGCGCAGCCCCGCAGCACUGACUGGGGCAGGACACUGUCCUUCUGCUGUUUGUCCGUGAGAUGUGAAGUUAUCCCAUUGCACAGCUACUCUGGCUGUACACAGACACUGCAGGCAGUGUAUCAGCAUUAACACCUCUGUGUUAUACAAAGCCAGAACACUGCAGUCUUUCCAAGCACUGAAGAUCACAAGUUUGAAGAAAUUUUUCCAAGAACUACAGAAGUCAUGAAGCUAGAUUUCCUCCAAAUUUGUUUUCUAGCCACUGAAGGCCAUGAGUCACCUCCCUUCACAACCAUAAGCCUUCCUUCGUUUAGUCCUCCCCUGCGUGUUCUGGAUGGACAAGAGGCUGGACUGCAGUUAAGUCUUAACUACAUUUGUAGUUUAUCCCAAGCUCCGCCCAGGGAGGUUCCUUCUGUCAGUGGUCCAUUGAGUCUCUCGGCAUGACUGAUAAAAUGACAUCAUCCCAUUGUGAGAUGCUCUGCCCAGGGGAGAAGCCAAGCAUUCCUACCUGAAUAUAAUCUGAGAUUUGGAACACCAGGAGAGCAUUUUUCCAUUGGAUUCCCAGAGGAAGACCAGGCCCAUCUACACCAGCACUGGACCUCCAGAGGAAAACUCCAGCCUUCUACAGGACCACACCUUCGCUACAGGAGGACUGCAGCCACCAUUUAACGGGACUGCUACCAACACCCUGACUAACACGGUGUCCGGUUGUAUUCUGACUCUGUCAGUGGUUUUUUGUAUUACUGCAUUUUUGUUUUAAUUUUCCUAGUAAAGAACUGUUAUUCCUCUUCCCAUA